AGCUUGGUGUAGUGGUUUGAGCACUGGACUAUAAUUUUGGAGAUCCGGGUUCGAUUCCCCGCUCAGCCA
Molecule: non-coding RNA, 69 nt
Organism: Phrynosoma platyrhinos (Desert horned lizard)
Lineage: Eukaryota; Metazoa; Chordata; Lepidosauria; Squamata; Phrynosomatidae
Source: the annotation of a GenBank genome assembly